Long non-coding RNA from Helianthus annuus (common sunflower), 2383 nucleotides. RefSeq lists it as uncharacterized. The record is from RefSeq and is a predicted model, not a curated record. The transcript has 7 exons. NCBI's taxonomy places the organism in Eukaryota, Viridiplantae, Streptophyta, Magnoliopsida, Asterales, Asteraceae.
GACCAGCUCUCUGUAACUCAUCACGUGAGCCCUUUUCAAAUUUCAAACUACGAGCCCUUUUCAUUUUUGUUCUCUCUCCCUCAAAGAUCUGGAUUUGGAUCUGUGGAUUCAAAAGGAAAAAAGAAUCAGAGAUGUAGAGAUGUGUUGUUGAUCUACAAUAUCAGAGUGGAAUCAAAAUCCUCAUCUUCAUCUUCCGACUUGACACAGAGCCGGUAUGGGAUCUGAGUUUGUUCUUCAUCUAGCGUUUUGAUGAUUGAGAGCAAUUGUGUGACGGGCUUGCCUUCCUCUCAAGAAAUCGGGUUCCGCCGCGAGCGGAGAGACAACCCUUGAGUUGUCACUUAUGACGACCGCCGCUGCAACCACCUUCUCCUCUGUCGCACCUACCACCUCCUCUUCACCAUCUCCGACACUCAAAACCCUAGGUUUCACCACAGUCUUCCUCUCAUCCAAAACCUCCUUCAAAUCACUCCACGCUCGCGUAUUUCCAUCCAACAUGACCUCUGUCUCCGCUAUGGGAGCUCGUAUGGUUGCAUCUCCGACGAUCACCAAGUCGGCGCUGUCUCUCGCUUUCGAAACCUCUGUUUUUAAAAAGGAGAAAGUCAACCUUGCUGAUCACGAAGAGUACAUUGUGAGAGGAGGAAGAGAUUUAUUUCAUCUAUUGCCGGAUGCAUUUAAAGGUAUUAAGCAGAUUGGUGUCAUUGCUUGGGGUUCUCAGGUUUGUAUAUUUUAUUGUUUUGAGUUUAUGUAUCACUAUGUUGCAUGCAUAUGAUAAUUUCAUUUAGAAGCUGUAAUUGUUAUUGAUUUGUGUUUAGGGUCAAACUCAGAAUUUAAAGGAUUCACUUGCAGAAAAGCAAAGUCUGAUAUUGUAGUGAAGGUGUUUUUUUAUUUUUAUUAUUUUGUAGUUUUUUGUUUUGUGUAAUAGUGACACUAGGAUAUGAAGAUGGAUUAGCAUCAGACUAAGUACAAAUUUACCAUAUGUUUAUACUGUGAGUUUAAGAGACGUGACAAUCUUUGAUAUGAAGAUGGAUUAGCAUCAGACUAAGUACAAAUUUACCAUAUGUUUUUAUUGAAUUUAUAGGGCAUGCUCUGGCACAAUUUCUUUUCUAGAUGAUUACACGUACAUGGGAGACUGAUGCAUCUGUUUUUAAUUGUAUGUAUAUAGAGUGUGCUUUGACAUGGUUUCUUUUUUUAGAUGAUUAUUGCUACAAGAGGUUGAAGGAAGUUGGCUAAACCAAUCUGAUCAUAACCAACCCUUUUACUUUUUAAGAUAAAAAGAAAGCUUCCAAAUGAUUAGCAGAUUGUAGAAAUUUGGUUUUUGAAACCUAUACUUAAUUAAAUGCUCUUUAUAUAGUGCUUCUUAUCUAGCCUAAUAAAUCUUUCUGGUUACUAUAUUUUCAGUACGAUUGCUGCUAGAGGGGAAUGUAAUCUCAAAAUAUAUAGUUAUGACCUUAAAUUCCAAAAUUUACGACAGACUAUUCGAAAGCGUGCAAGACACAUCUGCCCCAAUAGCGUGUUGAAUGAAGGAAGGUGUGGGUCGGUUUUCAAGCGCUGGACCGAUGAGCAGUGUUUUGGUGGUGGUAAGUGUGGAACUAAGAUUGUUAUUGCCAUGAAAAAGCUUUCCAAGUCACAAGGAGUAAACCCAGAACUGAGAUUGUUAUCACCAUGAAAAAGCUUUUGAGGUCAUAGAGAGUGGCUGGUUGGAUCGAUUGAUGGAAGGGUUAGUGUGCAUACUGAUGAACAACAAAGUAUAAAUAUCCACAUUUAAAUGCGACAGAGAAAGGAAAUGAGAUCUAUGCAAUUUAUCCUCUUAACUUCCAUCAUGUGAUGGGAAAUGGGAACCCUAUAGAAAGAAAGACAUGGUUUCCUGACAACGAAUCAUUAUUUAAACUUCUUUGUUAUGAAAAUGUACCUCCUUAUCUGAAAUUGUAGGGUGCUUUACACAAUUCAAGUCAAUUUUUAUUGAUGUUUCCCAAACAAGACACCAAUACGCUUUACUGGUAGUUGUUGGACUUCAAGUUGGGUAAAUGAUUGGCACUCAGGUUCUACUAAUUUGGUGGACGCUCUACAAAAACUGUUGUUUUAGUAUUAUGUUUGGGUAGCUACCGGGUAGUCUUUAUAUUUUACAUUUAUUGUAUACAUAAUUUAAAUGGUUCAACCCCGUGAGUAUUCACGGGGAAUAACCUAGAUAUUAAUAAUCGGAUACAUGAUAUUAUGUAGUUAUGUGGGUGUGGAUGAGAAGGAAGAUGUGCAGCUCUUUUACUACUUCAUUCAGUCAGAGUCAGAUCCUGACCGUGAUCCUCUCAUGCUUUGGAUCACCGGCAGUCCUGGUUGUUCUACCAUCUCUGGCCUGCUAUUUGAAAUUAGUAUGCUUUUGUUUUGUGUC